RNAcentral lists this ribosomal RNA (409 nucleotides) under Acanthamoeba sp. RNAcentral's name for it is "SSU rRNA". The stretch from base 1 to 358 matches the Rfam family "Eukaryotic small subunit ribosomal RNA", at positions 778 to 1116 of the family's 1831-position model. The record is from RNAcentral. Lineage: Eukaryota; Discosea; Longamoebia; Acanthamoebidae.
CAGCAGGCAGAUCCAAUUUUCUGCCACCGAAUACAUUAGCAUGGGAUAAUGGAAUAGGACCCUGUCCUCCUAUUUUCAGUUGGUUUUGGCAGCGCGAGGACUAGGGUAAUGAUUAAUAGGGAUAGUUGGGGGCAUUAAUAUUUAAUUGUCAGAGGUGAAAUUCUUGGAUUUAUGAAAGAUUAACUUCUGCGAAAGCAUCUGCCAAGGAUGUUUUCAUUAAUCAAGAACGAAAGUUAGGGGAUCGAAGACGAUCAGAUACCGUCGUAGUCUUAACCAUAAACGAUGCCGACCAGCGAUUAGGAGACGUUGAAUACAAAACACCACCAUCGGCGCGGUCGUCCUUGGCGUCUCGGUUUCGGCCGGGGCGCGGGGACGGCUUAGCCCGGUGGCACCGGUGAAUGACUCCCCU